This 1445-nucleotide ribosomal RNA is filed under the name uncultured organism. RNAcentral describes it as "16S ribosomal RNA". It matches the Rfam family "Bacterial small subunit ribosomal RNA". The record is from RNAcentral.
GCUGGCGGCAGGCCUAACACAUGCAAGUCGAACGGUAACAGGAAGAAGCUUGCUUCUUUGCUGACGAGUGGCGGACGGGUGAGUAAUGUCUGGGAAACUGCCUGAUGGAGGGGGAUAACUACUGGAAACGGUAGCUAAUACCGCAUAACGUCGCAAGACCAAAGAGGGGGACCUUCGGGCCUCUUGCCAUCGGAUGUGCCCAGAUGGGAUUAGCUAGUAGGUGGGGUAAAGGCUCACCUAGGCGACGAUCCCUAGCUGGUCUGAGAGGAUGACCAGCCACACUGGAACUGAGACACGGUCCAGACUCCUACGGGAGGCAGCAGUGGGGAAUAUUGCACAAUGGGCGCAAGCCUGAUGCAGCCAUGCCGCGUGUAUGAAGAAGGCCUUCGGGUUGUAAAGUACUUUCAGCGGGGAGGAAGGGAGUAAAGUUAAUACCUUUGCUCAUUGACGUUACCCGCAGAAGAAGCACCGGCUAACUCCGUGCCAGCAGCCGCGGUAAUACGGAGGGUGCAAGCGUUAAUCGGAAUUACUGGGCGUAAAGCGCACGCAGGCGGUUUGUUAAGUCAGAUGUGAAAUCCCCGGGCUCAACCUGGGAACUGCAUCUGAUACUGGCAAGCUUGAGUCUCGUAGAGGGGGGUAGAAUUCCAGGUGUAGCGGUGAAAUGCGUAGAGAUCUGGAGGAAUACCGGUGGGGAAGGCGGCCCCCUGGACGAAGACUGACGCUCAGGUGCGAAAGCGUGGGGAGCAAACAGGAUUUAGAUACCCUGGUAGUCCACGCCGUAAACGAUGUCGACUUGGAGGUUGUGCCCUUGAGGCGUGGCUUCCGGAGCUAACGCGUUAAGUCGACCGCCUGGGGAGUACGGCCGCAAGGUUAAAACUCAAAUGAAUUGACGGGGGCCCGCACAAGCGGUGGAGCAUGUGGUUUAAUUCGAUGCAACGCGAAGAACCUUACCUGGUCUUGACAUCCACAGAACCUUGUAGAGAUACGAGGGUGCCUUCGGGAACUGUGAGACAGGUGCUGCAUGGCUGUCGUCAGCUCGUGUUGUGAAAUGUUGGGUUAAGUCCCGCAACGAGCGCAACCCUUAUCCUUUGUUGCCAGCGGUCCGGCCGGGAACUCAAAGGAGACUGCCAGUGAUAAACUGGAGGAAGGUGGGGAUGACGUCAAGUCAUCAUGGCCCUUACGACCAGGGCUACACACGUGCUACAAUGGCGCAUACAAAGAGAAGCGACCUCGCGAGAGCAAGCGGACCUCAUAAAGUGCGUCGUAGUCCGGAUUGGAGUCUGCAACUCGACUCCAUGAAGUCGGAAUCGCUAGUAAUCGUGGAUCAGAAUGCCACGGUGAAUACGUUCCCGGGCCUUGUACACACCGCCCGUCACACCAUGGGAGUGGGUUGCAAAAGAAGUAGGUAGCUUAACCUUCGGGAGGGCGCUUACCACUUUGUGAUU